CAGUCGCCGCGGGAAUACGGAGGGUGCAAGCGUUACUCGGAAUCACUGGGCGUAAAGGACGCGUAGGCGGAUUAUCAAGUCUCUUGUGAAAUCUAACGGCUUAACCGUUAAACUGCUUGGGAAACUGAUAAUCUAGAGUAAGGGAGAGGCAGAUGGAAUUCUUGGUGUAGGGGUAAAAUCCGUAGAGAUCAAGAAGAAUACCCAUUGCGAAAGCGAUCUGCUGGAACUUAACUGACGCUAAUGCGUGAAAGCGUGGGGAGCAAACAGGAUUAGAUACCCCCGUAGUCCCUGUCUCUUAUAC
RNAcentral lists this ribosomal RNA (301 nucleotides) under uncultured bacterium. Its description in RNAcentral is "partial 16S ribosomal RNA". It matches the Rfam family "Bacterial small subunit ribosomal RNA", at positions 509 to 807 of the family's 1533-position model. The record is from RNAcentral.